AACGAACGCUGGCGGCAUGCCUAACACAUGCAAGUCGAACGAGACCUUCGGGUCUAGUGGCGCACGGGUGCGUAACGCGUGGGAACCUGCCCUUAGGUUCGGAAUAACUCCCCGAAAGGGGUGCUAAUACCGGAUAAUGUCUUCGGACCAAAGAUUUAUCGCCUUUGGAUGGGCCCGCGUUGGAUUAGCUAGUUGGUAGGGUAAAAGCCUACCAAGGCGACGAUCCAUAGCUGGUCUGAGAGGAUGAUCAGCCACACUGGGACUGAGACACGGCCCAGACUCCUACGGGAGGCAGCAGUGGGGAAUAUUGCGCAAUGGGCGAAAGCCUGAUGCAGCAAUGCCGCGUGAGUGAUGAAGGCCUUAGGGUUGUAAAGCUCUUUUACCCGGGAUGAUAAUGACGGUACCGGGAGAAGAAGCCCCGGCUAACUCCGUG
RNAcentral lists this ribosomal RNA (433 nucleotides) under uncultured bacterium. RNAcentral's name for it is "partial 16S ribosomal RNA". It matches the Rfam family "Bacterial small subunit ribosomal RNA", at positions 29 to 507 of the family's 1533-position model. The record is from RNAcentral.